RNAcentral lists this ribosomal RNA (137 nucleotides) under Escherichia coli. Its description in RNAcentral is "partial 23S ribosomal RNA". It matches the Rfam family "Bacterial large subunit ribosomal RNA", at positions 2806 to 2925 of the family's 2925-position model. The record is from RNAcentral. Lineage: Bacteria; Pseudomonadati; Pseudomonadota; Gammaproteobacteria; Enterobacterales; Enterobacteriaceae.
GAGUUCUCCCUGACUCCUUGAGAGUCCUGAAGGAACGUUGAAGACGACGACGUUGAUAGGCCGGGUGUGUAAGCGCAGCGAUGCGUUGAGCUAACCGGUACUAAUGAACCGUGAGGCUUAACCUUACAACGCCGAAG